UGGGGACUCCACUUCCCGCGCUCCUCCGCGGGGCCCGGCAGAGACGGCCCCGGACGGGGGAGGGCUGGGAGCUGUGGCCGGUGGAACCGGCCGUCUGUGGGGCGUCCGCCGUUCUUGCCGGGGCCUGUCCUUCAGGAGGGCAGGGACCGGACUGGAAAGCGGGCUUGAGGACUCGAGGGCGAGGGCGAGGCGCGGCCCGUCGGGUGGGCCGGAGUGUUCACCGCGGUCCCCGCGCUCUCGGGGCGGCCCCAUGGCGGCCCGCGCCCUGGGCGCGCGGCUGUGGGCCCCGGCGGGCGCGCUGGCCGCGCUGGCCUGCUGUCUGCGCGCGCGGCGGGCGGCCCCGGGCGAGCUGCGCCCCGAGGCGCGCGGCCACCUGGAGCUGAAGCAGGUGCAGGUGGUGUUCCGGCACGGCGCGCGGAGCCCGCUGCGGCCGCUGCCCUGCGCGGGCCAGGUGAGCGGCUCCCGGCGGCCCCCCGCCCCGCGCU
Molecule: long non-coding RNA, 485 nt
Filed under: Marmota monax (woodchuck)
Lineage: Eukaryota; Metazoa; Chordata; Mammalia; Rodentia; Sciuridae
Source: RNAcentral